ACAACACUGGGAUCAAGACCUGAGCUGAGAUCAAGAGUCAGACAUUUAACUGGACCACCCAGGAAUUUUAGGAUCAGCUUGUCAAUGUCUCCAAAAAACACAGCUGGGAUUUGGAUGGAGAGGGCACUGAAUUAGCAGUGUCAUCUUCACAAUAAAGGAGUGGGAAAGAGAAUCUCAAGCAGACUCCCCACUGCAGAGCCCACUGCAGG
Molecule: long non-coding RNA, 209 nt
Organism: Zalophus californianus (California sea lion)
Lineage: Eukaryota; Metazoa; Chordata; Mammalia; Carnivora; Otariidae
Exons: 3
Source: RefSeq, a predicted model, not a curated record